Oryza sativa Japonica Group (Japanese rice) is the source of this 2553-nucleotide non-coding RNA. The record is from RefSeq and is a predicted model, not a curated record. Lineage: Eukaryota; Viridiplantae; Streptophyta; Magnoliopsida; Poales; Poaceae.
UAGUAUCUUGUUGUUGGAAGAAAAGCCCUUUCUCUCUCUCUCAUUCUUGUGUUUCUUCUCGAUCGAUCUCUCGAUUUCUCUCUGUGCACCAGCAUCAGCUAUGGUGUCCGACGCCAGCAAGAAGAAGGCGGCGCAGAAGAAGGCCGCCGCCGCUGCCAAGAGGGGUGACAAGGCCAAGGCCGCCAUUACUCUCUCCGAGCGCACCUGCACCGCCGUCCUCACCUCCCAUCCCCUCUCCCGCGACAUCCACAUCGAGUCCCUCUCCCUCACAUUCCACGGCCAUGACCUGCUUCUUGACACCGACCUGGAGCUCAACUACGGCAGGCGAUAUGGUUUGCUUGGCUUAAACGGCUGUGGAAAGUCCUGUCUCCUCAAAGCUAUAGGAUGCCGGGAGCUUCCUAUCCCUCCACACAUGGACAUCUAUCAUCUCACCCAUGAGAUCGAGGCUUCCGACAUGUCUGCGCUACAAGCUGUCAUCAGCUGUGACGAACAGAGACUCCAGCUCGAGAAGGAGGCUGAAAUCUUGGCCGCUCAAGAUGACGGUGGCGGCGAAGCCCUGGACCGCGUUUAUGAACGCUUAGAAGCCAUCGACGCAUCCACCGCUGAAAAGCGUGCUGCAGAGAUUUUGUUUGGCUUGGGUUUUAACAAGCACAUGCAGGCAAAGAAAACCUGUGAUUUCUCUGGCGGUUGGCGCAUGAGGAUCGCUUUGGCUAGGGCGCUCUUCAUGAAUCCAACUAUCCUUUUGCUUGAUGAGCCCACCAAUCAUCUAGAUCUUGAGGCCUGUGUCUGGCUGGAGGAAACCUUGAAGAAAUUUGACCGUAUACUUGUCGUCAUAUCACACUCCCAGGACUUCCUAAAUGGAGUAUGUACAAAUAUCAUCCACAUGCAAAACAGGAAGCUCAAGCUAUACACUGGCAACUAUGACCAGUAUGUCCAAACACGAGCCGAGCUUGAAGAAAAUCAAAUGAAACAAUACAGAUGGGAGCAGGACCAGAUUGCCUCGAUGAAGGAGUACAUUGCACGGUUUGGUCACGGAUCUGCCAAGCUGGCCCGACAGGCUCAAAGUAAAGAGAAAACUCUUGCUAAGAUGGAGCGUGGUGGGCUCACGGAGAAGGUUGUAAGGGAUAAGGUAUUGACGUUCCGCUUCACUGAUGUUGGCACGCUACCACCUCCAGUGCUGCAGUUUGUGGAGGUCACAUUUGGGUACACACCAGACAACCUGAUCUACAAGAACCUAGAUUUUGGUGUUGACCUUGACUCAAGGGUGGCGCUGGUUGGUCCUAAUGGGGCUGGGAAGAGUACGCUCCUUAAACUCAUGACAGGUGAUCUCAUACCGCUGGACGGCAUGGUGAGGCGACACAACCAUCUCAGGAUCGCACAAUUCCACCAGCACCUUGCAGAGAAGCUGGACCUGGACAUGUCAGCUCUGCAGUACAUGAUGAAGGAAUACCCAGGGAACGAGGAGGAGAGGAUGAGGGCAGCCAUCGGCAAGUUUGGGUUGUCAGGGAAGGCACAGGUAAUGCCAAUGAGGAACCUGUCGGACGGGCAGAGGAGCAGAGUGAUAUUUGCAUGGUUGGCGUGGAGGGAGCCACACAUGCUGCUGCUGGAUGAGCCAACGAACCAUCUGGACAUUGAAACAAUCGACUCUCUUGCAGAGGCGCUGAAUGAAUGGGAUGGAGGGCUUGUGCUGGUGAGCCAUGACUUCAGGCUGAUCAACCAAGUGGCGCAGGAGAUAUGGGUGUGCGAAAAGCAGGCGGUGACCAGGUGGGAAGGUGACAUCAUGGAGUUCAAGGAGCACCUGAGGAGCAAGGCCGGAGUGGACGAUUGAGUUGAGUUGAGUUGAGUAGUUUUGAUCUUGCUGCCUGGCCCGGAGAGGAGAUACCAUCACUCUGCUAGUUACUAGUAUUUCUUCGGCUGUUACUAAACUAUACUGCCCAGCCUAACGGGGACGACGACUGCAUCAUCAUCUCUUGAUCUCUCUCUCUUAGUUAAGUUGGAUGCUUGUCACGGAUGUUUGUACCUGAUCUCCAUCAACUACAUCUGAUGCUAUAGCCCAUAUGCAGAUGUACCGUCCUCUUCUUGGGGUCUCUGGAGAAUGAGGAAACAGCAAGAUCCAGCCAGCAUAGCAUGUAUGUAUAGUGUAAUUAGCUGGUUUGUUGGCGGUGCACAUGCAUAAGAUAUACUUCCUCCGUUUCAUAUUAUAAUACUAUCUAUUAUUGCCCACAUUCAUAUAUAUGUCUAGAUUCAUUAGCAUCUAUAUGAAUGUGGGCAAUGAUAGAAAGUCUUAUAAUAUGAAACGGAGGGAGUAUUAUCUUGGUUUGCACUUGCAUGAUCACCUGCUGUAGUUAUUAUUAUCAGUGACCAAGUUCCCCUAGCUAGCAGUAGCACUCCAUGAAAAGAUAUCUACAUGAAACUGUACCACCCCCACGAUAUUAUAUAUGAGAUUGGAUUUUAAACUCUUGAGGGGAUGUCUCAUCGUUGCUUGUAUGUUAAAUUGAGAAGAUGUAUUAACAUGUGAUAUAUCUUAUUAUAAGCAUUCAACUUAAAAUUUAA